Long non-coding RNA from Cloeon dipterum, 731 nucleotides. RefSeq lists it as uncharacterized. The transcript has 2 exons. The record is from RefSeq and is a predicted model, not a curated record. Lineage: Eukaryota; Metazoa; Arthropoda; Insecta; Ephemeroptera; Baetidae.
CCGCAACUACGCUGACCCCUAUAUUUGCGCUCUUAUUCUCUCAUGUGACCUGUUUGCUGACGAUGAUUGAAUCUGUCCUCUGUAAUGCGAGCGGCUCAAUCUUGAGGAGGCAUCGGUGACGUGCAGAUCGCCAGCUCGGUUUAUUUUAACGCCGCUGCAGCACCAUGGUAGAAAUGCGAGUUUGAAGGGGAAAACGACGCAGCACGCCAGCUGUUGUCGCCGGUCGUGUUUUCCCGGUGGCUGACGACGCAGGAAAACUGUCGUGAGUGUUGCGCCGCGUGAGCAGCAGUGGCGCGUCCGCCCUUUUGUAUUAUUAUUAGUUUGCCCGAGCCUACAGCCCAUGGUUGUUGUCCGGCGCGAACAUUAGCACAAAUAGGUCGUCUGCUCGCGCCCGCCUCUUGUUUAUGUGUCAUUAAUUGGAGUGGAAAUAACGCGUCUACGAGUCAAUCUCUUUUGCUGUAUGCACACACACGCUUGAUUUUAUUUUCCAUCGCACGAGACAAAACACAAAAACCUGCUGCGCGCGCUCAGACGAUCGAUUGUAAAAUGGACACAGAAAAUACAUUAGCUGCAUUAAAUUCACAUGCAUAUAUCAACAAUACCGUUAUUUAAAAUCACUUGAAAGAGGUUGUGUGCUUUUGCUUCUUGAAAAUUUAUUUUGGAACCGUUGUGACAAAUUUUAGCUUGCUUCACAGAAACUUCAGGUAGUAAACGUAUCAACAAAAAUUAAA